GAACGAACGCUGGCGGCGCGCCUAAUACAUGCAAGUCGAGCGAGAAGACGUAGCAAUACGUUUGUAAAGCGGCGAACGGGUGAGGAAUACAUGGGUAACCUACCCUCGAGUGGGGAAUAACUAGCCGAAAGGUUAGCUAAUACCGCGUACGCUCCUUGGACUUCGGUUCAGGGAGGAAAGCGAUACCGCGGGUAUCGCGCUCUUGGAUGGGCUCAUGUCCUAUCAGCUUGUUGGUGAGGUAACGGCUCACCAAGGCUUCGACGGGUAGCUGGUCUGAGAGGACGGAUCAGCCACACUGGCACUGCGACACGGGCCAGACUCCUACGGGAGGCAGCAGUAAGGAAUAUUGCGCAAUGGGCGAAAGCCUGACGCAGCGACGCCGCGUGGGGGA
Molecule: ribosomal RNA, 391 nt
Filed under: uncultured bacterium
Lineage: Bacteria
Description: bacterial SSU rRNA
Rfam family: Bacterial small subunit ribosomal RNA
Source: RNAcentral